UGCGAUACAUCGAUAUAAUUCGGUCGGCAGUCUGUAGUCGGCGCGAGUCGAGAGUUAGUGUGUGACAGUGUCUCCGUUGCGAGUUGCGACUUUGUAGCACCUUGUCGAAUUAUUUAUUAACAUGAACUCCAUCGAAACGCUUCUAGAAGCCGCGGAAUAUAUCGCCCGAAGGGAGAGAGAAGCAGAGGCAGAGCAUGGGUACGCUUCCACUCUGCGGUUUCCCGACGAUAUCCGGAUCUCCAAAAGGCCCAAGACGAAAAAAUCCCAGGGGAACAGGACGUCCCACAACGAGCUGGAGAAAAAUAGGUGAGUUUCCCUGGAUUAUCAGUGUCUGUGCGCGGAGUGUAAAAAAAACAGUGAUCCCGUGCUAAAGUUCGAUUCAAGGUGAUGCUGCUGCAUUUUUAUGCAAGGUCGACACAUACUUCGCUUUGCUUGGCAACAGUUAUAGUAAUCAUCCUAUUUACAGUUUAACUUCUGUAAUGAGAGAGUAGGUUCGCCUAAUUUGUGAUUCGACGGGGUUUACUUUAAUAGCGUUCGGAAGGUUGAGUGCACGAAAAUAUUGCAUAAUUUUGUUUUCGCGAUUCGGAAAACGAAGGACGUGGUGUUAGGCAGUUGGCCAGACUGUUUUGCUUCAUUAACUCGUUCACUGAUGGAGGAUUUUUGGACUCGUAGCUCAGUUGUAGGACUUUCAGUUGCUUCUACUCACGCCUUAUAAAAUUCCGUUGAAACUCCUGUAGAAACUUUUCAUUGUAAUUUUUGUUUGUAACAAAUUUGUUUUUCUAAAUAUUCAUCUUCGACAUUGAUACACUUUUGCAUGUAUUGAAACCAAUUCUCGAAACAGUUUUCCGAACCAAAUUUAGUAUCUCAAAAACAUGAUUAUGGAUGGUUUCAACAGGAAAACAAAAAAGCCGUUAGGCGACUAUGAGCCAUCAUUCCAAAUUUUUUCUCCCUCAAAUGAUCAAUUACCUGUGUGCUGCGUGGGACCUGACGUUGGUUAUUAUAUUGAAAGAUUGUGCGACCUUGUAGAUUCUUUUGGCAAACAAAUUAUUGUUUACCAUUCAGCGAUAACUAUUUUUUUAUCCUUUGAAAGAAUAACGACGAUAUGUUCAACGAAGCCGAAGAUUUACUUAAGCGAUCAUUUUCCUUCUUGCAAGUGCUUCCUGAACGAACAACUCUUGUGGAAAUCGGUUCAUCUCGAAAUACUCAAAAAGUAGAUGUUCAAUCUCCGUUUCAUAUGAAUGUAUAAACUUUUCGUCACUUGUACGUAUAUAUUAUAUACUGAUUUCGUAGUUC
This is a long non-coding RNA of Leptinotarsa decemlineata (Colorado potato beetle), 1293 nucleotides long. Lineage: Eukaryota; Metazoa; Arthropoda; Insecta; Coleoptera; Chrysomelidae. The record is from RefSeq and is a predicted model, not a curated record.